Molecule: ribosomal RNA, 1166 nt
Filed under: uncultured marine bacterium
Lineage: Bacteria
Description: bacterial SSU rRNA
Rfam family: Bacterial small subunit ribosomal RNA
Source: RNAcentral
GAGUUUGAUCCUGGCUCAGGAUGAACGCUAGCGGCAGGCCUAACACAUGCAAGUCGAGGGGCAGCGGGAGUGCUUGCACUCGCCGGCGACCGGCGCACGGGUGCGGAACGCGUAUGGAAUCUACCUCUUUCUGGGGAAUAGCCCAUGGAAACGUGGAUUAAUACCCCAUAGUAUUCAGAAAUCGCAUGAUUUUUGAAUUAAAGCUUUGGCGGAAAGAGAUGACCAUGCGUAUCAUUAGCUAGUAGGUGAGGUAACGGCUCACCUAGGCUACGAUGAUUAGGGGUCCUGAGAGGGAGAUCCCCCACACUGGUACUGAGACACGGACCAGACUCCUACGGGAGGCAGCAGUGAGGAAUAUUGGACAAUGGUCGAAAGACUGAUCCAGCCAUGCCGCGUGCAGGAUGAAUGCCCUAUGGGUUGUAAACUGCUUUUAUACGGGAAGAACACCACCCACGCGUGGGUGACUGACGGUACCGUAAGAAUAAGGACCGGCUAACUCCGUGCCAGCAGCCGCGGUAAUACGGAGGGUCCAAGCGUUAUCCGGAAUCAUUGGGUUUAAAGGGUCCGUAGGCGGGCUAUUAAGUCAGGGGUGAAAGUUUGCAGCUCAACUGUAAAAUUGCCUUUGAUACUGGUAGUCUUGAGUUAUAGUGAAGUGGUUAGAAUAUGUGGUGUAGCGGUGAAAUGCAUAGAUAUCACAUAGAAUACCAAUUGCGAAAGGCAGAUCACUAACUAUAUACUGACGCUGAUGGACGAAAGCGUGGGGAGCGAACGGGAUUAGAUACCCCGGUAGUCCACGCCGUAAACGAUGGAUACUAGCUGUUGGAUUUUUCAGUGGCUAAGCGAAAGUGAUAAGUAUCCCACCUGGGGGAGUACGUUCGCAAGAAUGAAACUCAGAGGAAUUGACGGGGGCUCGUACAAGCGUGAGCAUGUGGUUUAUUCGAUGAUACGCGAGACUACAGGGCUGAAUGGGAAAUGACAGGCAGAGACGCCCCUUCUUCCGACAUUUCAGGUGCUGCAUGUGUCGUCAGCUCGUGCCGGGAGGUCAGUAAGUCUAUAACGAGGCCACUCCCUUACGUAAGUUGCAAGCGAUCAUGGUUCGACUCUACGGACUGCGGUCAACUAGGACGUGCGUAACUGCUUCAAUACUACUGGGCCCUUAUAGAUCG